RNAcentral lists this ribosomal RNA (484 nucleotides) under uncultured bacterium. Its description in RNAcentral is "partial 16S ribosomal RNA". It matches the Rfam family "Bacterial small subunit ribosomal RNA", at positions 30 to 507 of the family's 1533-position model. The record is from RNAcentral.
AUUGAACGCUGGCGGCAGGCCUAACACAUGCAAGUCGAGCGGAUGAAGGGAGCUUGCUCCUGGAUUCAGCGGCGGACGGGUGAGUAAUGCCUAGGAAUCUGCCUGGUAGUGGGAGAUAACGUCCGGAAACGGGCGCUAAUACCGCAUACGUCCUGAGGGAGAAAGUGGGGGAUCUUCGGACCUCACGCUAUCAGAUGAGCCUAGGUCGGAUUAGCUAGUUGGUGGGGUAAAGGCCUACCAAGGCGACGAUCCGUAACUGGUCUGAGAGGAUGAUCAGUCACACUGGAACUGAGACACGGUCCAGACUCCUACGGGAGGCAGCAGUGGGGAAUAUUGGACAAUGGGCGAAAGCCUGAUCCAGCCAUGCCGCGUGUGUGAAGAAGGUCUUCGGAUUGUAAAGCACUUUAAGUUGGGAGGAAGGGCAGUAAGUUAAUACCUUGCUGCUUUGACGUUACCAACAGAAUAAGCACCGGCUAACUUCGUG